Molecule: long non-coding RNA, 567 nt
Filed under: Homo sapiens (human)
Lineage: Eukaryota; Metazoa; Chordata; Mammalia; Primates; Hominidae
Description: HSALNT0214235
Source: RNAcentral
CACCCCCGCAACAAUGGCGAAUGGAAGAAUGGAAGGGAAGAAGACAGAGACACACCAGGACACCAGGGAUGCACACACUCAGAGAAGAGGCCAGGUGAGGGCACAAUGAGACGGUCAUCUGCAAGCCAAGGUAAGAUCCCUCAAGAAACACCAAAUUUGCUGGCAUCUUGAUCUUGGACUUCCACCUUCUGAAACCGUAAGAAAAUAGAUUUCUGUUGUUUAAGGCACCCAGUCUGUGGUAUUUUUAAUGGCAGGCCGAGCUGAUUUACAUGCACUCGUGGUAAGGGGCAGAGGAAACUCUAAGUCAUUUAUUAAUAAUUCAAAACUUUGUUCCUCAGUACUAGUAAAUAUUUUGCAAUCACUGAAGCACUUGUCAAAUGUAUAUUUUCUCCUCAUAUUAACUAGCAAAAUUAGCCUCACAUAAACUCAUCCACAAGUUUGUUAGUAGUUUGCCCCAAAUGCACACCUAUAAAAGUGGCAAGGCCCAGAUUUGAACCUGGGAAAACAGGUUUUUAACUAUUUCAUUGCAACUACCUCCGACAUCAGUGUACCUAAUUUAUAUUUUUC